This 250-nucleotide ribosomal RNA is filed under the name uncultured bacterium. Its description in RNAcentral is "partial 16S ribosomal RNA". It matches the Rfam family "Bacterial small subunit ribosomal RNA", at positions 524 to 773 of the family's 1533-position model. The record is from RNAcentral.
UACAGAGGCCUCGAGCGUUGUUCGGAAUUACUGGGCGUAAAGCGAAUGUAGGUGGUGACGUAAGUCAGAUGUGAAAGCCCGGGGCUUAACCCCGGAAAUGCAUUUGAUACUGCGUUGCUCGAGUGUGAGAGAGGAAAGGGGAAUUCCCAGUGUAGGAGUGAAAUCCGUAGAUAUUGGGAGGAAUACCGAUGGCGAAGGCACCUUUCUGGCUCAUUACUGACACUGAGAUUCAAAAGCGUGGGGAGCAAAC